This 253-nucleotide ribosomal RNA is filed under the name uncultured bacterium. RNAcentral describes it as "partial 16S ribosomal RNA". It matches the Rfam family "Bacterial small subunit ribosomal RNA", at positions 524 to 776 of the family's 1533-position model. The record is from RNAcentral.
UACAGAGGUCCCAAGCGUUGUUCGGAUUCACUGGGCGUAAAGGGUGCGUAGGCGGUCAGGUAAGUCUGAAGUGAAAGCUCCAUGCUCAACUUGGAAAAUGCUUCAGAUACUAUCAGACUAGAGAGCCGGAGAGGAGGCUGGAAUUCUCGGUGUAGCAGUGAAAUGCGUAGAUAUCGAGAGGAACACCAGUGGCGAAAGCGAGUCUCUGGACGGCAUCUGACGCUGAGGCACGAAAGCCAAGGUAGCAAACGGG